CCUACGGGCGGCAGCAGUAGGGAAUUUUCGUCAAUGGGCGCAAGCCUGAACGAGCAAUGCCGCGUGAACGAGGAAGGUCUUCGGAUCGUAAAGUUCUGUUGAAGGGGACAAAGAGCGGAGAGAGGAAAUGCUUUCUGAUUGAUAUUACCCUUCGAGGAAGUCCCGGCUAACUACGUGCCAGCAGCUGCGGUAAUACGUAGGUGGCGAGCGUUGUCCGGAAUGAUUGGGCGUAAAGGGUGCGUGGGCGGCCGGCUAAGUCUGGGGUGAAAGGUACGGGCUCAACCGGUACAGGCUCUGGAAACUGGCGGGCUGGAGAGCAGGAGAGGGCGGUGGAAGUCCAGGUGUAGCGGUAAAAGGCGUAGAUAUAAGGAAGAACACCAGUGGCGAAGGCGGCCGCCUGGCCUGUUACUGACGCUGAGGCACGAAAGCGUGGGGAGCAAAUAGGAUUAGAUACCCUUGUAGUC
Molecule: ribosomal RNA, 464 nt
Filed under: uncultured bacterium
Lineage: Bacteria
Description: partial 16S ribosomal RNA
Rfam family: Bacterial small subunit ribosomal RNA
Source: RNAcentral